RNAcentral lists this ribosomal RNA (460 nucleotides) under uncultured bacterium. Its description in RNAcentral is "partial 16S ribosomal RNA". It matches the Rfam family "Bacterial small subunit ribosomal RNA", at positions 338 to 795 of the family's 1533-position model. The record is from RNAcentral.
CCUACGGGAGGCAGCAGUGAGGAAUAUUGGACAAUGGACGCAAGUCUGAACCAGCCAUGCCGCGUGAAGGAAGACGGCUCUAUGGGUUGUAAACUGCUUUUGUAGCGGGAUAAAUCACGGUACGUGUGUCGUGUUGAACGUAUCAUACGAAUAAGUAUCGGCUAACUCCGUGCCAGCAGCCGCGGUAAUCCGGAGGAUUCACGCGUUAGCCGGAUUUAGUGGGUUUAAAGGGUGUGUAGGCGGUUGGAUAAGUCAGAUGUGUAAUCCCGGGGCUCAACUGUGUAACUGCCUUUGAUACUGGCGGGCUAGAGUUCAGUUGCGGUAGGCGGAAUGUAUGGUGUAGCGGUGAAAUGCAUAGAGAUCAUACAGAACACCGAUUGCGAAGGCAGCUUACCAAACUACGACUGACGUUGAGGCACGAAAGCGUGGGGAGCAAACAGGAUUAGAUACCCGAGUAGUC